Molecule: long non-coding RNA, 626 nt
Filed under: Numida meleagris (helmeted guineafowl)
Lineage: Eukaryota; Metazoa; Chordata; Aves; Galliformes; Numididae
Description: lncRNA (ENSNMEG00000002689.1)
Source: RNAcentral
CCCCCCCAUGUAAGAGAACAUCGGGGACGCCCCACACUUGGGGGUCUGCCCCACACCUGGAGGUCCCACCCCACACUUGUGGGUCUGCCCCAUAGAUCCAGAGCUUGCCCCAUAGCUAUGUACCCACCCCAUAAGCCCAUUAGGACCCCAUGUAACAGCCCAACAGUUACGGGACCCCCACUUGUGGGUCUGCCCCACACUUGGGGGUCCCACCCCACACUUGUGGGUCUGCCCCAUAGACCUGGAGCCCCUUCCCCCCUAAAUUCCUUAGGAACUCAUGUAACAGCCCAGCAGUUAUGGGACCCCCACUUGUGGGUCUGCCCCACACUUGGGGGUCCCGGCCCCACACUUGUGGGUCUGCCCCAUAGAUCUGGAGCCCGCCCCAUAGCCAUGUACACCCCCCCAUAAGCCCAUUAGGACCCCAUGUAACAGCCCAACAGUUACGGGACCCCCACUUAUAGGUCCUGCCCCACACUUGGGGGUCUGCCCCAUAGACCUGGAACCCCCCUCCUCCCCCCUAAGUUCAUUAGGACCCCCACGUAACAGCCCAGCAGUUACGGGACCCCCACUUAUAGGUCCUGCCCCACACUUGGGGGUCCCGGCCCCACACUUGUGGGUCUGCCCCA